Molecule: RNA transcript, 4089 nt
Organism: Vicia villosa (hairy vetch)
Lineage: Eukaryota; Viridiplantae; Streptophyta; Magnoliopsida; Fabales; Fabaceae
Gene name: bifunctional dihydrofolate reductase-thymidylate synthase-like
Exons: 12
Source: RefSeq, a predicted model, not a curated record
CCUGUCUCUCAGAUUAUAUCAUUCCUAAAACAUUCGACUUUGUUUCUUUAACAACUAACAUUUCUUAGAAAAUUUGUAUACCAUUUAGAGUAUGGUGUCAAAAAUUGUACUACUGGAAUUUUAUCAAUUGUUUCUUUAUACUUUUUGCCACAUGUCAAAUUGUAUCUUUUUUAAACAAUUUGAUUUGUUUUAUUUUUUCUUUAUAUAACAUUAUUAAAUCAAUUUUGUACUUGUGUACUUGCAUAUCACUCUUUUAACACAAACUGUAGCAAAAUUUCAACCAAACCCUAUCGUCGCAGUCGUACCGGCGGCAGUUUCUCUCGCCGUCAUCAUCUCCGCUCGUCGUCUCCGUUUCAUCUCUCCACCCACAACUAUUCUAAAUCAAAACACAAAGCUCCAUUCUCACUCACUCUCACCUCAUCACCAUUUCAAAAUUUCGCGCCUCAAUUUCAUAUCGAUUGCACUGCACUUCCAAAAGAAUUGGUUGUGCAGUCCCUGUUUUCAUCAGAAGCAAUCUUUAAAAUUAUCACGGUUUCGAAGUUCUGCUAUGGCUGCUGAUUCCUCUGUAAUGUAUAACGGAAAUGGAAAUGGAAAUGGUGGUAUCAACCCAAUGCCUAACCUACAGAGGACUUACCAAGUGGUAGUGGCUGCCACCAAAGAUAUGGGCAUUGGUAAGGAUGGAAAGUUGCCGUGGAGAUUAUCUACUGAUCUCAAGUUUUUCAAAGAGAUAACUACGACGACUAACGAAUCCGGGAAGAAGAAUGCCGUUGUUAUGGGAAGAAAAACAUGGGAGAGUAUCCCUCUUCAGUUCAGGCCUCUUCCCGGUCGUCUUAAUGUUGUUUUGACUCGCUCGGGUAGUUUUGAUGUUAAAGCAGCGGAUAAUGUUGUUAUUUGUGGAAGUAUGUCUUCUGCAUUGGAACUUUUAGCGGCUUCUCCUUAUUGUACAUCAAUUGAGAAAAUAUUUGUUAUUGGGGGUGGUGAGAUAUUUAGAGAUGCUCUCAAUGCACCUGAAUGUGAAGCUAUCCACAUCACAGAAAUUCACACAAGCAUUGAGUGUGACACUUUUAUGCCUCCAAUUGAUUUCACAAUAUUUCGGCCGUGGUACUCAUCCUUUCCUAAGGUGGAAAACAAUAUCCGAUAUUCUUUCACCACUUAUGUGCGUGUAAGAAGUUCUGUAGCAGAGUCCUUGAGUCGGAAUACUGAUUCACCUAUUGAUAAUAAACCAGCUUCUAAAAAAUUUGAGGUUCAGAACUUCUCUUUUCUUCCGAAAAUGGUUUUUGAGAGGCAUGAGGAGUACAUGUAUCUUAAUCUGGUUCAAGAAAUCAUAUCUCAAGGUACCUCCAAAGGUGAUAGGACAGGGACUGGAACCUUGUCAAAAUUUGGUUGCCAGGUGAGGUUCAAUCUGCGCAGAGGCUUUCCUCUUCUAACAACUAAGAGAGUAUUUUGGCGUGGAGUUGUUGAAGAGCUUCUUUGGUUUAUCAGUGGCUCAACAAAUGCCAAGGUGUUACAGGAAAAAGGCAUUCAUAUAUGGGAUGAUAAUGCAUCCAGGGAAUUCCUUGAUAGCAUUGGUUUGUCAGAGAGGGAGGAGGGUGACUUAGGACCUGUUUAUGGGUUUCAGUGGAGGCACUUUGGUGCCAGGUAUACGAACAUGCAUAAUGACUAUACCGGCCAAGGAGUUGAUCAGCUUUUAGAUGUUAUCAACAAGAUAAAGCACAAUCCUGAUGAUAGACGGAUCAUUCUCUCUGCAUGGAAUCCAGCAGAUCUUAAAUUGAUGGCACUUCCACCCUGCCACAUGUCUGCACAGUUCUAUGUAGCAAAUGGGGAGUUAUCAUGUCAAAUGAAUCAGCGAUCUGCUGAUAUGGGCCUGGGUGUGCCAUUCAACAUUGCAUCUUAUGCCCUCCUUACAUGCAUGAUUGCUCAUAUUUGUGACCUUGUUCCAGGUGAUUUUAUCCAUGUUCUUGGAGAUGCACAUGUUUAUCAAACUCAUGUGACGCCUUUGCAGGAACAGCUUCAUAACCUGCCAAAACCUUUUCCAACUUUGAAAAUCAAUUCAAUGAAGAAAGAUAUAGAUUCUUUUGUGGCUACUGACUUCAAGCUCAUUGACUAUGAUCCUCACCAGAAGAUUGAGAUGAAGAUGGCUGUUUAAAAUAAGGGAGAUCUUAGUCCCUACUUCAGGCUGUUUCUGCUGUUUGAAAUGAGCCAAGCACAACAAAUGGAUUUAUGGAGUAACAGAAGUCAUGCCUAUAAUUUAACAGAAAUUGUGUACACCAGAACCCAUCUUGAGAAUGGAUUCACAUGUGCAACUGAUUUGGAAUCAUAGGUAGUUAUUAUCAGGAAGUGUUUCAAGGGAGCUAUAGAGCAUAGGGGUUAAGACAUUUCUAUUUCGAAAAUAGUACUAACUAGUAACUAACGAGCUUUAAAGCCGUUUGCCAAAUGCUUUAAUUUUUAUGCUAGUUAAUCUAAAAGAGACAAAAAUGUCGCCCAAAACAACUCCAUUUUACAUAUUUGUCUUUGUUAUUUUUGUAAUUUACUGGGCUAUUUAGGAUGAAGAUAGCAUCUUUUUUCCAAUAAAGGAAUCAGAAAAAUAUACAAGUUUAAAAUAUGCCUAUUGUACAAAAUUUCAAUACUAGUCUAUGUCAGUCUCUUGCAGUUGUAGAUUUAUAGUCCAUUGAAGCCAGAAGUAACAUGCAAGAAAACAUCUUCUGUGCAAGGAAUUGUGAGGCCACCCAUUGGAUGAUCAUAUCCGAACUCUUCCUCUGCACGACUCAGCAAAUCUUGAAAUGAAGUUUGGUUCAAGUAUGACAUGGGGAUCACAAACCGCUUCAUUUCUUCUCCGACAUACACGGCAAGAUAGCCCUUUGGCAUAUUCAGUGCCUUUGAUGAUGUUCGGCUUCUGCUCAAUGAAGCACAUCUAAUAACUGCAGGUAAAUGAAAGCCCAUUUCAAAUGUUUCAAAGAACAAGUAAAGCUCUCAAAUAUAAGAAUAACGUAACUAGCUUUUGAUGGUUGAGUAUGUAAAUGAGUUUUGAUAGUUGUGAAGGAAGGUAGUGUAUUUAUAGUCUCAAGAGUUUCUUGGAAUCUAUUUUGUUGAGAAUUGGUUGUUAAAUGAUGGGGUCCAUGAGAAGAGAGAUCACAUGAAAUCUCCUUUUGAUAUCUCUCUAUUAAGGACCAGUAAGUUCAAUAAGAGAGCACAUAUACACCACAUCUUUUGUAGAUCUCUCACUUGAAAGUUAAAGGAGAUAGGAAGGUUCAAAUUAGUGCUUAAUUAUGACCACUCAAGUAUUUGUAAUGUUCUCUUCAUAUUGGUAACACUAACACGGCUCAAUUUCGACACAUAGUAGCAAAAAUCAUCUUAGGGAUGACUUUUAAGCCAAUUAGUGGCUACAAAUCAUAUAUGUUAUGAGGCAACAAUGGAACCUGUAUCAAGGGAUUGAUUGGUCAGAAGUCAUCCUGACCAGAAGAUAGUAGUAGUACAGAUUUGAAUCCACAAGAAGCAGAAAACUGUAUUCAGAAAAUUGAAUUACUAAUGUCAACAGUCCUAUAUAUUUCAUUUUCAAUAAUUGCAGUCUUCCCGAGAAAAAUCUCUGCCAGGAUUUUUGUAUUAUAAGGUGGAUUGAUAAAGGUUGUUUGAUGACUUUUUUCAGCGUAUGAGAAUAGUUUGUUAGCAGAACUUUAUUGAUGAACCUAUUUUAAAAUGUUGGGCAAUAAAUUCAAGGGAAACAAGUAGAGUUGUAUUUAUGAUUAUAUUUUUUCUUGUUUCUUGCAGAGAAGGACUUGUGUUUUUUCUAACUCAAAAGGAAACUAUCUUUAAUAUAUGAUUAACAUGUUUCUAAUUUUGAGAGUUUUAUAACAAUUGUUCUGGACUGGGCCAAGGUUAGGCCCACUAUGAUUUUCGGCCCAAUAAACCUCAGAGGCUCACGUCCCUCUGCGGCCCUCCUACGCAGAUAGGAUGCCCACCUUAGACAUGCUCGGCUGCCCUAUAUCCCCGAGCAUGUGACACCAACAUGCUCGGCACUGACGAGCCCGCGAACACCUUCGUUGCCGAGGACUCUGCUCCGCGCAGGGUUCCUUCAUAUUCAACCCUCCGAAC